This 466-nucleotide ribosomal RNA is filed under the name uncultured bacterium. RNAcentral describes it as "partial 16S ribosomal RNA". It matches the Rfam family "Bacterial small subunit ribosomal RNA", at positions 29 to 506 of the family's 1533-position model. The record is from RNAcentral.
ACGAACGCUGGCGGCGUGCUUAACACAUGCAAGUCGAACGGAAAGGCCCUGCUUUUGUGGGGUGCUCGAGUGGCGAACGGGUGAGUAACACGUGAGUAACCUGCCCUUGACUUUGGGAUAACUUCAGGAAACUGGGGCUAAUACCGGAUAGGAGCUCCUGCUGCAUGGUGGGGGUUGGAAAGUUUCGGCGGUUGGGGAUGGACUCGCGGCUUAUCAGCUUGUUGGUGGGGUAGUGGCUUACCAAGGCUUUGACGGGUAGCCGGCCUGAGAGGGUGACCGGCCACAUUGGGACUGGGAUACGGCCCAGACUCCUACGGGAGGCAGCAGUGGGGAAUAUUGCACAAGGGGCGGAAGCCUGAUGCAGCAACGCCGCGUGCGGGAUGACGGCCUUCGGGUGGUAAACCGCUUUCGCCUGUGACGAAGCGUGAGUGACGGUAAUGGGUAAAGAAGCACCGGCUAACUACGU